CUACGGGAGGCUGCAGUGAGGAAUAUUGCACAAUGGGGGGAACCCUGAUGCAGCAACGCCGCGUGGAGGAUGACGCAUUUCGGUGUGUAAACUCCUUUUAUAUGUCAAGAAAAUGACGGUAGCAUAUGAAUAAGCACCGGCUAACUCCGUGCCAGCAGCCGCGGUAAUACGGAGAGGUGCAAGCGUUACUCGGAAUCACUGGGCGGAAAGGACGCGUAGGCGGGUUGGAAAGUCAGGUGUGAAAUCCUACAGCUUAACUGUAGAACUGCACUUGAAACUUCUAAUCUAGAGUAUGGGAGGGGGAGAUGGAAUUAGUGGUGUAGGGGUAAAAUCCGUAGAUAUCACUAGGAAUACCUAAAGCGAAGGCGAUCUCCUGGAACAUUACUGACGCUAAGGCGUGAAAGCGUGGGGAGCAAACAGGAUUAGAUACCCCUGUAGUC
Molecule: ribosomal RNA, 440 nt
Filed under: uncultured bacterium
Lineage: Bacteria
Description: partial 16S ribosomal RNA
Rfam family: Bacterial small subunit ribosomal RNA
Source: RNAcentral